This 71-nucleotide transfer RNA is filed under the name Fukomys damarensis (Damara mole-rat). It matches the Rfam family "tRNA". From Rfam's summary of the family: Transfer RNA (tRNA) molecules are approximately 80 nucleotides in length. Lineage: Eukaryota; Metazoa; Chordata; Mammalia; Rodentia; Bathyergidae. The record is from Rfam by way of RNAcentral.
GGGUAUAUAGCUCAGUGGUAGAGCACGUGCUUAGCACGUAUGAAGCUUGGGUACAAUUUUCAGCACCCCCC